Molecule: unclassified non-coding RNA, 237 nt
Filed under: Hevea brasiliensis (rubber tree)
Lineage: Eukaryota; Viridiplantae; Streptophyta; Magnoliopsida; Malpighiales; Euphorbiaceae
Source: RNAcentral
UGAAUUUCUAACAUGGAUAUUGUCUGGAAAAGUUCUACGCAUUCAUCUAGUAGUAACUUUUCUUGUGAAACCACCUCUGCUAGCUGAGAAACUAAUUCAGCACUCUUCUCUGCAAAGGGUGAAAAGCUAACCAAUGAUGACUUGAUAGAAGCUGUGAGAUCAGAUGCAUGUCGAAGUGCGAUGGAAGUCAAUUGUGGAUCCACCUUUGCACCUUCAAUAAGUGGUAUUCUACAAACA